This 22-nucleotide non-coding RNA is filed under the name Rattus norvegicus (Norway rat). Lineage: Eukaryota; Metazoa; Chordata; Mammalia; Rodentia; Muridae. The record is from RNAcentral.
UAAAGAGUUGAAACUCCCCCCC